GGGAUUGCCUCAGUAACGGCGAGUGAAGCGGCAACAGCUCAAAUUUGAAAUCUGGCCCCGUCGGGGUCCGAGUUGUAAUUUGUAGAGAGUGCUUCGGGUGAGACCGCGGUCUAAGUCCAUUGGAACAUGGCGUCAUAGAGGGUGAGAAUCCCGUAUGCGACUGUGGCUCGAGCCCAUGUGAAGCCUCUUCGACGAGUCGAGUUGUUUGGGAAUGCAGCUCAAAAUGGGUGGUAAAUUUCAUCUAAAGCUAAAUACUGGCUGGAGACCGAUAGCGCACAAGUAGAGUGAUCGAAAGAUGAAAAGCACUUUGGAAAGAGAGUCAAACAGUACGUGAAAUUGUUGAAAGGGAAGCGCUUGCAACCAGACCUGUCCGUAGGUGAUCAGCCGCUGUUCUCAGUGGUGCACUCGCUCUGCGAUCAGGCCAGCAUCGGUUCUGGCGGUCGGAUAAAGGUCUUGAGAGUGUAGCUCCCCUCGGGGAGUCUUAUAGCCCUCGGUGCAAUGCGGCCAGCUGGGACCGAGGACCGCGCUUCGGCUAGGAUGCUGGCGUAAUGGUUGUAAGCGACCCGUCUUGAAACACGGACCAAGGAGUCUACAACUUAUGCGAGUGUUUGGGUGUUAAACCCAUACGCGGAAUGAAAGUGAACGGAGGUGAGAACCCUUAAGGGCGCAUCAUCGACCGAUCCAGAUGUCUUCGGAUGGAUUUGAGUAUGAGCAUAAUUCGUGGGACCCGAAAGUAAGCAUCCAUUAGAGUAUAAUCAUAUAGAAUCAUAGCUAACAUGUGUUAUAGGAUGGUGAACUAUGCCUGAAUAGGGUGAAGCCAGAGGAAACUCUGGUGGAGGCUCGCAGCGGUUCUGACGUGCAAAUCGAUCGUCAAAUUUGGGUAUAGGGGCGAAAGACUAAUC
RNAcentral lists this ribosomal RNA (902 nucleotides) under Vulpicida pinastri. RNAcentral describes it as "eukaryotic LSU rRNA". It matches the Rfam family "Eukaryotic large subunit ribosomal RNA", at positions 71 to 936 of the family's 3401-position model. Lineage: Eukaryota; Fungi; Ascomycota; Lecanoromycetes; Lecanorales; Parmeliaceae. The record is from RNAcentral.